RNAcentral lists this ribosomal RNA (868 nucleotides) under uncultured archaeon. Its description in RNAcentral is "bacterial SSU rRNA". It matches the Rfam family "Archaeal small subunit ribosomal RNA", at positions 1 to 878 of the family's 1478-position model. The record is from RNAcentral.
CUCCGGUUGAUCCUGCCGGACCCGACUGCUAUCAGAGUGGGACUAAGCCAUGCGAGUCGACGUAGCAAUGCGUGGCGAACGGCUCAGUAACACGUAGUCAACAUGCCCAGGGGACGUGGAUAACCUCGGGAAACUGAGAAUAAACCACGAUAGGUCACGAUUUCUGGAAUGGAUCAUGGCCUAAAUCUACAUGGCCCCUGGAUUGGACUGCGGCCGAUCAGGCUGUUGGUGAGGUAAUGGCCCACCAAACCUAUAACCGGUACGGGCUCUGAGAGGAGAAGCCCGGAGAUGGGCACUGAGACAAGGGCCCAGGCCCUAUGGGGCGCAGCAGGCGCGAAACCUCUGCAAUAGGCGAAAGCCUGACAGGGUUACUCUGAGUGAUUUCCGCUAAGGGGAUCUUUUGGCACCUCUAAAAAUGGUGCAGAAUAGGGGGUGGGCAAGUCUGGUGUCAGCCGCCGCGGUAAUACCAGCACCCCGAGUGGUCGGGACGAUUAUUGGGCCUAAAGCAUCCGUAGCCGGUUCUGCAAGUCUUCCGUUAAAUCCAGCCGCUCAACGGAUGGGCCGCGGAGGAUACUACAGGACUAGGAGGCGGGAGAGGCAAGCGGUACUCAGUGGGUAGGGGUAAAAUCCUUUGAUCCAUUGAAGACCACCAGUGGCGAAGGCGGCUUGCCAGAACGCGCUCGACGGUGAGGGAUGAAAGCUGGGGGAGCAAACCGGAUUAGAUACCCGGGUAGUCCCAGCUGUAAACGAUGCAGACUCGGUGAUGGGCUAGCCUUGUGCCAGCCCAGUGCCGCAGGGAAGCCGUUAAGUCUGCCGCCUGGGGAGUACGGUCGCAAGACUGAAACUUAAAGGAAUUGGCGGGGGAGCA